Molecule: ribosomal RNA, 419 nt
Filed under: uncultured bacterium
Lineage: Bacteria
Description: bacterial SSU rRNA
Rfam family: Bacterial small subunit ribosomal RNA
Source: RNAcentral
UGGGGAAUAUUGGGCAAUGGGCGCAAGCCUGACCCAGCAACGCCGCGUGAAGGAAGAAGGCUCUCGGGUUGUAAACUUCUUUUAACAGGGACGAAGAAAGUGACGGUACCUGUUGAAUAAGCCACGGCUAACUACGUGCCAGCAGCCGCGGUAAUACGUAGGUGGCAAGCGUUAUCCGGAUUUACUGGGUGUAAAGGGCGUGUAGGCGGGAGAGCAAGUCAGACGUGAAAUUCCAGGGCUCAACCCUGGAACUGCGUUUGAAACUGUUCUUCUUGAGUGAUGGAGAGGCAGGCGGAAUUUCCGUGUGUAGCGGUGAAAUGCGUAGAUAUACGGAGGAACACCAGUGGCGAAGGCGGCCUGCUGGACAUUAACUGACGCUGAGGCGCGAAAGCGUGGGGAGCAAACAGGAUUAGAUACCC